AGAGACGUCUGGAGGGCAGCCAGAGCGGAGAGGCACCCUUGGCUUGUUUACAGCUGCCGACUGUGUCCCGGGCACCUGUGAGCAACAGCGACAGAGGCGUCAGCCAGGAGAGCCCGCCCUCACCAUCCACAGAGACCUACGCAAAAGAAAAUCAGGGGUCCGUCAGGGACCACGCACCCAUGGGGAGGCAGGUCGCUCAUCUUGAGAAGCAGAUGUUUUUAAAGGGGGGAGAGGAUUCCGGCUGGUGACCUUCAGUGAAUCGCGUUUCGCUGUCACGCUGUCAACAUGCAUUCAGACCAUUGCCGAGGCCUGGUUCUGCUUAUGAGAUAAGCAUCCUCCCCUGUGACUCUGUGACCCUGCUGUCCUCUUCGUCUCGUGAGAAACCUCGUUCAGAGUCUCCCCUUUGCUCUGCAGGAUGUACGUAAGCAGCAUUUUCCUCCUUCCUCUAAGUGCGGCCUUUCCCCACUGGCCUUGAACUCCAGAAAUGGGACAGACAGGCUUGCGCUCUUGAGCCUAAUUGCCUUGGCAGACCCAUCUGUCUCCAGCAUCGGCAUCUCACGUACCACAUGCCCAAGUGCACUGGGUGAGCUGGCAACCUCCUGAGCCUGAUCGACAGAAAGCUGGAGGUCCAUGGGGGUUGGAUGGCAGCCCCGCUUAAAUCUCUUUGCUGGAAAUUUCACUAAAGAAGACAGCUGGUGCCUAAGAUUCCCAGGGCACCUGCCAUGCUUGCUGAGCAGGAGGAUAAUCAGAACAUCCUGCUCACCUGGCACAGGGGCUGGUUCAAAGAUGCUUCCCUGAUGAACCAAUUAGAGGACCAACAACUUCAGUCUAACCCUUCAGGUUGACCUGGGCAUGAUUCAAGCACAUUUGCAGCUGCCUGCUGUGUCCAUGAUGAUAAAUAAAGCCUCAUGGAGCAGAGGAGCAGAUGAGAGAGAGCUGGGAGACAGAAAUUGAAAAACUGCAGACCGGGGACAUCUUCUGAGCCCUGAAUUCAGCCAGCCGGACAACCAGUCUCUUUACACCAGUGUCUUUCCAAUCCCGAGCCCGGGAACAUACAGAGAAUUUCAGCGCAUUUCUUCAAAGGCUAUAGUUUAAAUGAUGAAAAUCUUUUGGAAAGUAUCUUCAUUUGGUAAUAAUGCUAAGCAAACUAUUUCUGAAAACCAACAAGGAAUGUAACAGAGGAAAAGUUUCCCCCAACUUUCCGAUUUGUAGCAGCACAAGAAGAUGAUUGUGAGCUUCUGCUAUAAUUAAUAGGCACGCAGUUAAGUGAAUUAUGCAAUAUUAAAAUAUCACUGAGGGGGCAGAACUAGAGAUAAAUGUCCUCCUCCGGGCUGGAUGGAACUCUUCUGGGGAACCGCGUUAUAAAGUCCUUUAAUUUAAAAAAUUACAUUUCCGGGGCCUCAUAUUGUCAGAAAGACAAAUAAUCUGGCUCAGUGAGAAACAUAGAUUUAGAGGACUGUACUUAAGAGCCCAGCACGGGGUUGUACAUCACUGUCAAGUGGAAAGGAACAGGGACACAGAAGCUGCAUACCUGGUUCCACAGGGCAAGUGCUGAUGGAAAAGUCAGCCUUGUGCAUCUCUGAGUCUGAGAUGCCUGAGCUCAGCAGCUUAUGUGUACCCAGCUGGGCACGCUCGCUGUUUUAAUACCGGUUUUAUGAUUCUUUAGGGCUCCUGGGGCCAGGAAAUCAGGAAAGGACCCCCCCUCGGAAAGAUGAUUUGUUACAGAUCCCAGGAGGAAGCGGCAUGCCACACCCCAAGGGGCCACUCAGGGAAGCACCAGGGCUGUUCCGGACAGGACAGCUGUAGGCAAGAUCCUUUACUGUGAUUUCACCAGAAAAGAAUGGGGUGAGUCAGGGUAAGCAGGCUUAGGAUUCUCCAGUUCAAAUAAGGCCAGCAGGCUCUCAGGGGUAGGGGCUGUCUCUAGUUGUCCAGUACCCGCCUCAGGGUGAGGUGGGCAGGGGGUGGCGGCCCAGAGUGUCAGAGCCUGGGAUGGGAGGACUGGGCCGUGGGUUCUGGACUGGCUGAUUUGCAGGUGAAAGGCUAGUAUCUCUAGGGAUUGUCUAUCCGUGGGCAGGGAGAGGUUAAGGGGCGGUCCCCCAGGGUCGUCAAGGUCCAGACAUCAAAGCAACAGACGCUAGAAGACAAAGUUAAUACCCACAGAAAGAGUUGCAGGCCCACCUGCAAAGUCUGCAAGGGUGAGUGUCCCUGAUAGGGACGGAGCAGGGUAGCGACACACGCAGUUAUACACGUCCCAGUAGGGACCAUAGAUAGAGAGGGAAACCUAAGGUGUGACUUAGGGGGAAACUUGACCCCAUGACAGCCUCUGCCACAGGGGGAGUGCAGGGGAUUUUUGAAACAGACCCCAGCCCUACUCCUUCCACUGAGAAAGGGCUCUCCCCUGCUAUCGGUCACCCCUGGAAUGGCCCCCACACUUCUGAAUCAAAAAGCAAAAAUGAAGACUUCCUAUUGUGGCUCAGAGGGUCAAGACCCCCACAUAGUGUCCCUGAGGAUGCAGGUUUGAUCCCUGGCCUUGCUUGGUGGGUUAGCAUCCUGCAUUGCUGAAGGCUGUGGUGCAGGUUGAAGAUGUGUCUCAGAUCCAGCGUUGCUGUGGCUGUGGUGUAGCCGGCAGCUGCAGCUCUGAUUCAACCCCUAGCCUGGGAACUUCCAUAUGCCACAGGUUCAACCCUAAAAGCAAAAAAAAAAAAA
RNAcentral lists this long non-coding RNA (2706 nucleotides) under Sus scrofa (pig). RNAcentral describes it as "lncRNA (ENSSSCG00050066004.1)". The record is from RNAcentral. Lineage: Eukaryota; Metazoa; Chordata; Mammalia; Artiodactyla; Suidae.